AAGGGGAAAGCCGAAAACCCUGAACAGAGUAGGCC
This is a regulatory RNA element of Pedobacter steynii, 35 nucleotides long. It matches the Rfam family "DUF805b RNA". Rfam says of the family: Bacteroidetes, Chlorobi (1 example), Proteobacteria. Lineage: Bacteria; Pseudomonadati; Bacteroidota; Sphingobacteriia; Sphingobacteriales; Sphingobacteriaceae. The record is from Rfam.